UGAUAUUACCUUAUUAUUAGUGUCGUCCAAAACUGGUGCCAGAAGACUCGGUAAGGCCAGAGACACAAACGUUAAUCGUCUUAAUCAGGCGUAAAGGGUUUGUAGGCGGCUUUAAAAUUUACUUAUACAAAAAAAAAAAUAAUAAGUUAAAAAAUAAAAGCUAGAAUCAAAUAGAGGAUAUAUGAAAGAAUACUUAGAGUAGGUCUGAUAUCCUUAGAUACUAAGUAGAAUAUUAAAGGCGAAAGCUUUUUUCCAUUAAUGAUUGACGCUCAGAAACGAAGGUGAGGAUAGGAAAUAGGAUUAGAUACCCAGAAUACCCCUCUCUGUCAACGAUGAAUGGUAGUUAUUAGUAAAAAUUUUAUUAAUGGCAAUGUUAACACGAUAACCAUUCCGCCUUGUGAGUACAAUUGCAAAAUUGAAAACAAAAAAA
Molecule: ribosomal RNA, 430 nt
Filed under: Russula quercilicis
Lineage: Eukaryota; Fungi; Basidiomycota; Agaricomycetes; Russulales; Russulaceae
Description: partial 12S small subunit ribosomal RNA
Rfam family: Bacterial small subunit ribosomal RNA
Source: RNAcentral